RNAcentral lists this ribosomal RNA (90 nucleotides) under uncultured archaeon. RNAcentral describes it as "partial 16S ribosomal RNA". The record is from RNAcentral.
AAACUCCGCAAUGCGGGCAACCGUGACGGGGCCACCCCGAGUGCCCCGAAGAGGGGCUUUUCCCCGCUGUAAGDGUCGGGGGAAUAAGCG